GCCCGUGUAGUGCAGUGGUGAGCACGUUUCGUUGUGGCCAGGCCAGCUUUUCCAGUCUCCUGUCUAGACUGGAAGUGAUGGCUUCCAGGCAGUAACCGAAGAGACCUCAGUUCGAAUCUGAGCACGGGCA
Exophiala xenobiotica is the source of this 130-nucleotide non-coding RNA. NCBI's taxonomy places the organism in Eukaryota, Fungi, Ascomycota, Eurotiomycetes, Chaetothyriales, Herpotrichiellaceae. The record is from the annotation of a RefSeq genome assembly.